AUGAGGAGACAAAAAAAAAAAAAAAAAAAAAAAAAAUUAAAUAAAAAAAAAGUAAUAAAACUGUUUAUAAGGAAUAAAAUUAUUACUCUUAAGUAUUUGAUAAAAUAUUUAUGUAAUUUAAAUUUAUAUGUAAAUUUUGAUAUAGUAAAAUAUGAGUUCAAAAAUUCAGUUUUUGAAAAUUGUUAUAAUGUUACAAAUAAAAAUAAUAACAUAAAAACAUGUAGUAUAAAUUGGAUUAGUAAUAACAAGGAUUGGAGUAAGAAUAAUAAUAAUAACAAUAAUAAUAAUAAUAUUAAUAAUGCCAAUAAUAAUAAUAAUAAUAACAAUAAUAAUAAUAAUAUUAAUAAUGCCAAUAAUAAUAAUAAUAUUAAUAAUGCCAAUAAUAAUAAUAAUANNNNNNNNNNUGCCAAUAAUAAUAAUAAUAUUAAUAAUGCCAAUAAUAAUAAUAAUAAUAUUAAUAAUAAUAAGAGGGAAGGAAAAGAAAAUAAAAAUUAUACUAAUUUAUAUGAUAUAUUGUUUGAAAAUUCUAUAAAAACUUUUUAUAAUAAUAUAAUCCAUUUUUUAUUUGAUAUACUAAACAAUUUAGAAGGUUUGGAAAAUUACGGGGUAUAUACCUCAAUGCAGGAUAAGUGUGAUCAACUUGGACGAAGUAAAAGUAAUAACUUUUGUGACACAAGUAACAGUAUAUGCUUUUUUUUGAAUAACAAUCAAGUAGUCUUACAAAACGGAAUACCUUAUGUUAGAAAAUUGUUAAGAAAAAUGACAAAAAAAUAUGUUUGUAAUAAAAAAUGGAAUUGGCUAUUUACAUUUGACAAAUCGGUAAGCAACACACGAACUAUGUCGAAAAUGGGACAUACAAGAGAUAGCAAUAAAAUAAAAAGGGAUGGCAAUAAAACCGAAAGGGAUGGAAAUAACACCAAAAGGGAUGGAAAUAAAACCGAACAAAAUGGCAUAACUAGUACAUAUUCACUAGUGAAAGAAAUAGAAUGUAAGACAUUAUCUUGUGAUAGUAGUAUAAAUAGCCACACGAAUUUUAAUAAUUCUAAAUUGAAUACAUUAUGGAAUACAGAUAAAACUGAAAAAAUAAUUACUGUAUUAAUUAAAACGAUUUUUAAUGUUUUAUUAAAAUAUACUACCGAUAUGAUAUAUAUGUUUAACCCUGUCGUAAAAAUAAUUGUAACAUGUUUACAAACAUUAAUAAAUCAUGUAAAAAAAUAUAAUAAACAUAUAACUAUAUUUUCAUUUUAUUUGAAUAAAUUUAUAAAAAAAAUAUAUUAUAGAACUAUAAAACUACAUUUUUAUAAUUUAUGUUUUGUUAUUAAUAACAAUUUAGAAAACUUUUUUUUUAUUAUCUGUAAUAAUAACGAAAUCGAUUCCAAUUUUAUAGAAAAUAAAAAUAACAUUGGUCAUAACAUAUUGUUAAGUGUUUGUUUAACUAUUAUAGAUUUUGAAGCAUUUUAUAAACAUGUUCAGAUAGAACAAGAUUUUUUUUUUAAUAAUCUGAUUCAUUUUUUGUUUAUUUAUUUUGCUUAUUUGACAAAGUUUGUUAAAUCGAUGGUAAGGAAUUUUGUUUGUGUGUAUGAGGAUGGUUUAUCUAGUAGGAACAAUGAAAAUGAUAAACUUGAAGACGUGAUAAAACAUGAUAAGAAAGACUCAUAUAAAAACGAAUAUGAUGAAUGUUGGGAUUCUCAAAAAAAAGAAAUAUUUAAAUAUAAAAACAUUUAUGUGACAACAUUUUGUGAAGAUAGACAAAUAAAAACAAGAACAGAUAAAAAAAAAAAAUAUAUAAGCAAGUCGGGUAUGUUAUUAAAAUAUUUGUAUAGUACUAAGAACAUACAUGAUUUGCCAAAUGGGUUAAUAAAACAAAACUUAAUUAAUACAAAAAAGUUUAUUGGCAUGAACUAUAAACAGUUUUUUAAUAAAAUAAUAGUCGAACAUGAUUCCAAAAAAAAAACAAAAAUAUAUUUCUUAUUAGCACUUAUAUCUAUUUAUGAACAUUUCAAAAAAGAAAGUAUUACCAAAAUUUUUACUAUUUUUGUUGAUAUAUAUAAGGAUGCCAAAUGGAUAUUAAAUGAAAAAAAAAAAAUAUGUUUACAUAGGAAAUUGGAAAGUUUUUUAUAUAUACAUAAGCGGUCGUAUAAUAAAGUAAUCGGAAAAAAAAAAAAAAGUAAGAAAAUGUUUGUCACAGGGUUUGGUAGUAACACGUUAAGUGCUGCGACGGACGAUAUGGCAUGCGAAGUGACAAGCGACAUAACAAGUGACGUGACAAGCGACAUAACAAGUGACGUGACAUGCGACAUAUCAAGUGACGUGACAUGCGACAUAUCAAGUGAAAUGACAAGAGGCAUAUCAAGUGACGUAACAAUCGGUACCCCAAACGAUGUAACAAUCGGUAUCCC
This is a long non-coding RNA of Piliocolobus tephrosceles (Ugandan red Colobus), 2399 nucleotides long. The record is from Ensembl. NCBI's taxonomy places the organism in Eukaryota, Metazoa, Chordata, Mammalia, Primates, Cercopithecidae.